UUCAGACAUAUGCUUGUC
This 18-nucleotide small nuclear RNA is filed under the name Arabidopsis thaliana (thale cress). Its description in RNAcentral is "snRNA_17592". The record is from RNAcentral. Lineage: Eukaryota; Viridiplantae; Streptophyta; Magnoliopsida; Brassicales; Brassicaceae.